GGUCUCUGAAGAACAGGGGACUCAGGGCAAACUGUGCUGCAGGCAGGAAUGAACCCCCGCGUUCCCUGGGAGGAAUCCCCAGGGUCCCAGCAGGAUGCAUUAGCAGCACGUCUCUCCAGUGAGCCGUGAUGGGAAGAGCACGGAGCAAAAAAAAGAGAACCGAAGAACCGAUCUCUCGAAGGAUCCUGGCUGGCAGCAGUAUCACCAUCUGACUGAAGAGAACUCAGCCACACGCAUAAUCCUCGGGAAAAUUCAUCUCCACCCUCCCGCAGACCCCGGUGAGAG
Molecule: long non-coding RNA, 285 nt
Organism: Camarhynchus parvulus
Lineage: Eukaryota; Metazoa; Chordata; Aves; Passeriformes; Thraupidae
Exons: 3
Source: RefSeq, a predicted model, not a curated record